Molecule: ribosomal RNA, 205 nt
Filed under: Klebsiella sp. DNRA6
Lineage: Bacteria; Pseudomonadati; Pseudomonadota; Gammaproteobacteria; Enterobacterales; Enterobacteriaceae
Description: partial 16S ribosomal RNA
Rfam family: Bacterial small subunit ribosomal RNA
Source: RNAcentral
AACUCUGAGACAGGUGCUGCAUGGCUGUCGUCAGCUCGUGUUGUGAAAUGUUGGGUUAAGUCCCGCAACGAGCGCAACCCUUAUCCUUUGUUGCCAGCGGUCCGGCCGGGAACUCAAAGGAGACUGCCAGUGAUAAACUGGAGGAAGGUGGGGAUGACGUCAAGUCAUCAUGGCCCUUACGAGUAGGGCUACACACGUGCUACAA